GGGGAUGUAGCUCAGUGGUAGAGUGCUUGCCUAGCAUACAUGAGACCUUAGGUUUCAUCCUCA
This 63-nucleotide transfer RNA is filed under the name Heterocephalus glaber (naked mole-rat). It matches the Rfam family "tRNA". Rfam says of the family: Transfer RNA (tRNA) molecules are approximately 80 nucleotides in length. Their secondary structure includes four short double-helical elements and three loops (D, anti-codon, and T loops). Further hydrogen bonds mediate the characteristic L-shaped molecular structure. tRNAs have two regions of fundamental functional importance: the anti-codon, which is responsible for specific mRNA codon recognition, and the 3' end, to which the tRNAs corresponding amino acid is attached (by aminoacyl-tRNA synthetases). tRNAs cope with the degeneracy of the genetic code in two manners: having more than one tRNA (with a specific anti-codon) for a particular amino acid; and 'wobble' base-pairing, i.e. permitting non-standard base-pairing at the 3rd anti-codon position. Lineage: Eukaryota; Metazoa; Chordata; Mammalia; Rodentia; Bathyergidae. The record is from Rfam by way of RNAcentral.